RNAcentral lists this transfer RNA (68 nucleotides) under Pseudogramma paucilepis (Weakscaled podge). Its description in RNAcentral is "tRNA-Ser". The record is from RNAcentral. Lineage: Eukaryota; Metazoa; Chordata; Actinopteri; Perciformes; Serranidae.
GAGAGAGGCUUGCUGGCAACGAAAGCUGCUAUUUACCGUCACCCUGGUUGGAUUCCAGGGCUCACUCG